RNAcentral lists this long non-coding RNA (11157 nucleotides) under Nicotiana benthamiana. Its description in RNAcentral is "long non-coding RNA (NBEN_LNC029584)". Lineage: Eukaryota; Viridiplantae; Streptophyta; Magnoliopsida; Solanales; Solanaceae. The record is from RNAcentral.
CUUUCCAAAGAGAAUAUCCGCUCGUCGUCGUAGGAAUCAACAUUUUCCUCCUCCGUCGCCCAACGUUCUCCGCCACCAGCCUCUCUGCACAUUUUUUGGUGCUUACUACUAGCCUGAUUAGGAGAUUGAUAAGUUUCUUGUCAACAACUGAGCUAAAAAUGUCCACCUGAAGAUGGAUUCUUGAUGGUUAUAAAAUUGAAUUUUUGCCCAGUUCCUAAAGGUACAAGCUAUUUAUUUUAUAUUUUUUCCUGCUAAUCGUAUUCUAAUUUUGUUGGUUGUACUUUACUCCCUAGAAAAUUUGAGUUUGAUAUGGUUACCUAAGUUUUUUUUAGAUGCUUUUUAUAACUCUACAUUGCUGAAAUUUCUUAGAAUUAGUGACAGUUAAUAAAAAUGGGCCUUCAUUGAAGUAAAAGUGAUUUUUAGCUUUUCUGUUGUUAGUGUAAUUAUCCUUUGUCAAAAUCAAGCUAGAUUUUCCAUGGACAUGGAGGCAAGAUCUAGUGAUAAGGAAUGAAAUACAAAGAAUAACAUAGAGGAAUAUAGAGAGAGAAAAAAAAAUUAUAUUUCUAUUUCAUACUUUCGUAACUGCUUUGUGCAUGAGUAUGUUUCUGUCAUAUACAGAGCUACUAAUGUGUCUUAACCGUGUGACUAAUAGACUAUCCUAUAGAUGUACAUGUUAAAUAGUAUAUUGUACAAACACCCUCAUCUACACUCCCCCUCAAGUUUUUUCAUUCCCAACUUGGUCAACAGAAAGGCAUGUUGCUGAUGGCCAAGAGGCUUUGUCAAAAUGUGAGCUGGUUGGUGUUGACUUGGUAUGUGAGAAGUUUCAAUCAGCCCCUCUUGUAUUUUUUUCUCUUAUGAAGCGACAAUCUAUUUCGAUGUGCUUUGUUCUCUCAUGAUACAUAGGAUUUGCUACAAUUUGUAAUGCAACUUUUUUAUCACAAAAAAACUUCAUUGGCAACUUCACAUCCAUUCUUAAUUCUUUCAGUAAUCCAUUAAGCCAAAUCAACUCUGCCACUGUGUGAGCCAUGCUUCUACUCUGCUUCAGCAGAACUUCUAGUGAUAAUGCUCUUUUUUUUGCUUUCCAAAGGAUCAAUGAAUCACCUAGCUUAAUACAGUAGCCAGUCACAUAUUUUCUUGACAUGGGAUAAGAUGUCCAAUCAAAGUCACAGUAAGCUUCAAUCUGUUGUGUCUAUUUGAUUGACAUGAGAAUUCCUAGACCUGGUUGUCUGCUAAUGUAUCUGACAAUAUGUAGAGCUACAUCAUAAUGGGAUCUCUUCAAUGCAUGCAUGAAUUGGCUUAAGCAUUGGACUGCAUAAGAAAUGUCUGGUCUACUUAUCAUGAGGUAUAAAAGUUUUUCAUUCAGCCUUUAAAAACUCCCCCUAUCUUCCAAUGUUUCAUCAGAGGUUCCAACAUUUAUACUUUUGUCAAAUUAUGUACUUAUGAGCUUCAUGUUCGUCUCCACAGGUGUAUCUUUAGACUUUGAACCUACUACACCCACACCUGAGAUCAUUUCUAGUGCAUACUUCGUUUGUGACAUCAGUAUUCCCUCCUCACACCUUGCAAAUUCUAUUCCUGGGAAAUAUUUUAACUCUCCUAGGUCUUUUAGCUUGAACUUCUGGUGUAGUGCAGCCUUUGCAUUAUGUAUUUCCUCUAGAUCAUUUAUUGUUACAAGUAAAUCAUCUAUAUAUACCAGUACAAGCACAAACUUGUAUUUGUUAGUCUUGGUAAACAAUGAAUAAUCAUGUUUUCCUUUGAGUAAAACAAGAUUCUACGAGAGCUUGAGUUUGUUUCAAAUUCGAGUUCCUAGAUGCUUGUUUCAGACCAUAUAAGGACUUUAGUAGCCUACAUACUUUAUGCUCCCCUUGGAUACUAAAGCCUUGCGGGAGGGACAUGUAGACCUCUUCCUCAAGAUCACCAUUGAGGAAGGCAUUAUGCACAUCAAUUUGAAAAAUCGGCCAUCCCUUAAGGGCAACAACAACAACUGCAGUCCUGACUGUAGUAAGCUUGGGCACAUGGGAGAAAGUAUCAUAGAAAUCCAGACCUUAUUAUUGUGUAUAGCCCUUAGCAACUAGUCUGGAUUUGAACCUUUCUACUGAAUCAUCUGUAUUAUAUUUAAUUUUGUACACCCAUUUGCACCCAAUGAAAAUUUUACCAGAAGGCAGAUCCACUACUUCCCAUGUGUGGUUUUGCUCAAGAGCCUCAAUUUCCAAUUGCAUGGAUUUGACCCACCUAGCAUCCGUACUAACUUGAGUAAAAGAAGAGGGUUCAGUAUCAGAAGAAAAGGAAGAAAGGAACGACCUAUAAUGUGAGGGUAGUUGAGAAUAGGAAACAAAUUGUUGAAUGGGAUAGGAGGAGGAGGAAGAAGUAGUGGGUAAGGAGGAUGUACAUAAUCAGUCAACAAGAUGGAAGGUCUGGUUACCCUUCCCGAUCUUCUAGGUUGGUCAGGAGUGGUAGCAAUAGGAGUAACAUAGGUAGGAGAAGAGGUAUGAGAGGUUGGUAUAAUGUCAAAUAAAAUAGUAGUUAAUGAUGGAGUAGGGGAGACAGGUGAAGGUGAAGACUUAAUGGAAGAAACUAAAUCAAUGGAAGGUAUAAGUAUAGGGUUGAGAGAAGGUUCAGGAUGGAAAGAAGAAGAAUGAGAUAUUUUGGAAGGGAGGAAAUGAGAUCUGGGGAAUUUGAACGGGAAAAUGUACUCUUUAAACACAACAUCUCUAUUGAUAAAAAAUUUCCUAGAUUCAAUAUCAUAGAGCCUAUAACCUUUUUUAUGUAAAGAGUAUCCCAUGAAGAUAACAGGUCAAGACUUGGCAGAAGAUUUGUCACAAUAAUUUGGUCUUGUGGCAUAACACAAAAAUCCUAAAGUUGUCAUAUGAUGCAGGUUAGGAGGAUGACAAUGGAACAACUCAUACAGAGUUUUUCCAUUCAAAACAUUGUUGGGUAGUCUGUUGAUGAUAUGGGUUUCUACUAGAAUACAUUCGCCCCAGUAUUUUAAUGGGAUGUGGGCUUGAAAUAUUAACGCUUUACUAAUUUCAAGAAGGUGUCUGUGUUUCCUUUCCACUACCCCAUUUUAUUGGGGGGGGGGGGGGUAUACAACUACUUUGAUGUAUAAUCCCUUUAGAUUUGAAAAGAGUGGACCAAAGUGUAUUAAAUAAUUCAUAGCCAUUUUCUGAUUGAAAGAAAGACUUUAAAUUUGGAGGAAAAUUGGUUCUCAAUCAAUUGAAGGAAAUCACGCAGAACAACAAAAACAACACUUUUCACUGUUAACAAGAAUGUCCAAGUCAUUCUAGAGUAAUCAUCAACUAGAGUAAGAAAAUAUCUGAAGCCACAAUGAGUACAGACUCUAUAUGGACCCCAAACAUCCAUAUGAACUAACUCAAAUGCAGAAGUAGACUUAGAAGUACUAAUAGAAAAUGGUAAUCUAGUUUGUUUAGCUAAAGGACAAAUUGGACAAUUACAAUUAGUAGAUUUUGACAAGUGAUUUCUAAUUGUACGAAUUUUCAGUAAAACAUUCUGUGGUGCAUGACCAAGUCUUUGAUACCACAAAAAAUUUGAAUUAUUCUGAAGAGAGGCAGACAAACACUUGGAGACAAGAGCAGCAGCGUGUAAGGAUUGAGAAUGUACAACCCAUUCUUUUCACUACCAACCCCCUUCACCUUGCCACAGAAGAGGUCCUGAAAUAAACAGAAAUCAGGAUAAAAAGUUACUAAACACUUUAAAACCUUAGUGUACUUGGAGAAAGACAACAAAUUGUAUUUGAAUUGUGGAACAUAUAAUACAUUGUCCAGAACUUGUGAAUUGGGCUAGGAACAAGACCCUGAAUGAGUAAUUUUAGUACUAUCUCCAUUAGGUAAAUGUACAGAAUUGGAAACAAAAUUAGAGGGUAUGGAGUGCGAUUGGGAAAACAGAUGCAAGGAGGAAGCCAUAUGAUUUGAGGCUCCAGAAUUAAUUAUCCAACAACCAUAGUUAGCAAUGGAGUUACCUGCCAUAUUAGCUAACUCAUUUGCAGUUGACUCUGCCAUAUUUGGCAUCUCUAUUGCAGCUGAUCAUUUGUUCUAGUCCAGCAACAUAAGUAUAAGUUGAUAUUGAUCAUGGGUAAAUAUAGGUGCAAAUGCUAAACUUCCUAUUUGUCCCAUGCCUUUUGUCCCAGCAGUAUACAUCUCCUCUUGUGCCUUCACAUUUGUAUGGUAUGCCAUUGCUGGAGCACCAUUGUAGCCUCCUCUUCUCCUAUUGUUGUUAUUAAACUUAGUACAUGUUGGAUAACCAAUCAGCUUGCAACAGUUUUUCUUUGUGUGAAAUUUUAUAUGGCAAUAGUCACACUGUAUGUUCCGAUUCCUUCUAGGCCUUGUGUUGGAGGCAUCGAUCGAUAUCAUAGCAGUGGAUUCUCCAUCCAUAGGUGCAUUUCCUAGGAUUCCACUCUGCUUUCCCAAGCUCCCACUUAAUCUAUGACUUUCUUCUUGGAUCAACAUUGAAUAAGCCUGAUCAAUUGUAGGCGUCAGAUACAUUAUCAGAAUUUGGCUCCUUUGUGGUGCAUAUGCAUCAUUAAACCCUAUUAAAAACUUCAUCAAAUUUUAUUAGCGUAAAAAACAACAAAUUCUCUAGAUUUUACACAAUCAUACCUAGGAAAUGGUAUAAUCAACUCAAACUCAGCCCAUAGAUUAUUCAACCUUCAAUAAUAGAUUGAGAUACUCGAUUUUCCUUGAGUCAGACUUCCAAUUUCUAUGUUCAUGUGAUACACCUUGGUUGAAUUCACUUUUUCCAACCUUUCUUUAAAGUCUUCCCAAACCUUUUGUGCAUUUGAAGAGUAAACAAUACUUUUCCUAAGUUCUUGAGCCACUGAACUAAUGGUCCACGACUGUACAAUGGUGUUACAUCGAUCCCACUGGUGAAACUUGAAUGGAUCUGCUUCAUAUUUCUCCCUAGUACAUGUUCUAUUAAUAAAACCUAUUUUGUUCUUCACCAGAAGUGAAAUUUUCAUAGAACGACUCCACUCCGAGUAGUUCUCUGUUCCGACCAACAGCUGAGUAACCUACGCAAUCCCUGAUGUGUCUGAGGGAUGAGCGGAUGCGGAUCGUUGUAAUUAAGAAAUUGACUGUUUGCAUACGAAGAUCCGACUCCAGUUUGUGUAGAAUCACCCGUCAUCGCAGUAAAACUCGUCAAUAUUAAGAACUUAGCGCUAGAAAAAAAAUCGAAGAAGAGAGAACUUGAUUUGGGGAAAUUGAGAAGGAAAUUGUGAAGAAGAGAACUAUCAGCAGCUUCACAUUACAGAUCUUACUGGAUCUGUUAUGAUACCAUGUCAAAAUUAAGCUAGAUCUACCAUGGAACAUUAUUAGCACGAUAUUUGUUCCGUGUGGAAUUUUAUUGACACGAGGUUUCUUCCUGUGUUGUCACUGGACCUGGACUACUCAACUUCAGGAUUGUUGCAAUUAUCCGAUGUUAUACCGCAAUAGUUCUUUUGAAUCAUCAAAUAAUUUAUAUGUCUUUCAUUUCAUAUAAAAUAUAAAACCCUUUUAAUUAUAGAAAAUUAUGGUUUCUAAUAUUUUAUGUUAAUUUUAAAAUAUACAAAUUCUUUCUCAAAUAAAGUGAAAUAUUUCUAAUUUUUGUUUUGGGAGAAAUAGAUUUUAAGAUAAAGUAUUAUUAUUAUUAUUAUUAUCAUUAUUAUUAUUAUUACUAUUAUUAUUAUUAUUAUUAUUAUUAUUAUUAUUAUUAUUAUUAUCCCACUUGGAGGAUCGACAAAUUUUUCUAAUUUGCCAUUCACAUGUCUGGAACCUCCAAUCUAGUGACUGGUGGUAAAGGUUCACCUUGAAAGAAUCUCGCUUGUGCAAUGCUAACAAAGGUAAGAUUAUUGCCGUCCUUUGAGAAAUAUUCUCAUAUAUUAUUAUAGGAACGACUUUUGUAAUUCUUCUAUCGUUGCAUGAGAGCUUUACUGCAAAUAUUGUAGUAUUAAGCCAAUUGAAAGAGACCUUAACAAAAUAUAUGUUUGUUUAAUACUAAAAUUCAACAAUGCUAACAAACUACAAAAUUUUAACCUAUUAGUCUUUGUAACACUCUUUAUAAAGUAAUUACCAAAAUAAUUGCUAAUAGGCUUAAGCCUUUACUAAGUAGAUUGGUUAGUGAACACCAGAUUAGCUUUCUGAAACAUAAACGACCUAGUAAUAAUGCUAUCAUUAUUCAGGAGGUCCUCAAACGUUUUAAUAAACAAACAAGGAAAUGAAAUUGGCUCCUAAAGUUGGACCUAGAAAAGGCUUUGGAUAAAUUGGAAUGGUCAUUUGUUUAUCAAGCUCUAAGGUUCCACAAUUUCCCUCCUAAUAUUUCUUCUCUUAUUUUGAGUUGUAUUUCUUCUACGUCUAUCUCAAUCCUUGUUAAUGGAAAUAAGACUAAGUAUUUCUGCCUUCAAGGGGUAUCAGGCAAGGCGACCAAUGUCACCCUACGUUUUUAUUUUAUGUAUGGACAUGCUAUCCAAAAAUAUUGAACAUCAAGUUGACACUCUCUCUUAUUCUGCGUUGUAUUUCUUCUAUGUCUAUCUCAAUCCUUGUUAAUGGUAAUAAGACUAAGAAUUUCUGCCCUUCAAGGGGUAUCAGGCAAGGAGACCCAAUGUCACCCUACAUUUUUAUCUUAUAUAUGGACAUGCUAUCCAAAAAUAUUUAACAUCAAGUUGACACUCUUUGAUGGGAUCCAAUACUAUUAAAUAGGCAAAGCCCCCCCCCCUCCCCCAAUCCCAUCCCAUUUAUUUUAUGCUGAUGAUCUAACAUUAAUGGGUAGAGCUAAUAAAAAUACAAUUACUACCAUGAAAAAGAACCUUGAUAUCUUUUGCCAUUUAUCUGGCCUAAACAUCAACAAAGAAAAGUCUAAAUUACUUCUAUCUAAGAAUUGCACAAAGGACAUGUGUAAUUGGAUCACUUCCUUGUUAGAGAUUAAGGUCAUUAAGGACUUUGGUAGCUACCUAGGUUUCCCGAUGAGUGGAACCCCUCCUAAGCAUAAGGACUAUUUACCUCUAAUAGAGAAUGAGGGCCAGACUAAAUGUUUGGAAUGCCAAUUGUCUCAAUAUAGCAGGAAGGUUUACCCUUAUUAGAUCCACUCUUAACACAAUCCCUAACCACCAAAUGCAGUUAUCAAUGCUCCCUAGUAGAACCCUCCAAGAAAUUGUGGGGUACUACUAAUGAAAAAAAGAAGAUUCACUUAAUAAAUUGGGAUAAGGUAACAAUGCCCAAAGAGACGGGGGGAUUGAGAAGUAGAAAAGCGAAGAAGACGAAGCUAUCCCUACUAACAAGUCAAGUGCGGAGGCUCCAAAUUAAUCACUCUUCUACUUGGGUACGUGUUAUUAGCAGUUGUUACAAUCACACAAAAUCGACAAAAAAGGCCUCUCACACUUGGAAAAGACUCGUAAAAGGUUGGAACUAUUGUUGAGAGGGCAUUAGAUGGCUAGUGGAUAAAAAUCCCAAUAUAUCCAUUUGGGACACAAACUGGAUCCCUAAGUUUGGACUCUAAGGAAGAAUGUUAUAGGUCCCCUCAAUAAAAAGGAAAGUGAGCUUACUCUCAAAGAUAUAAAAAAUAAAAAUACAUGGGAUAUGUCUCAAAUUUCUUUUAAUCUGCACAUCAAUAUCCUUAAUAGCAUCCAUUCUCUAACUACAUCCAACAAUCAAAGUAACGCAAUUGUUUGGUCAAUAAACACUAGUGGUAUAUUCACAACUUCUUCUUGUUAUAAACUUAUUGAUAAUAAUAUUUCUGACAAACACAACUACACGGCCUACAAUUUUGAUUGGAUAUGAAAGUUAGAAUGGCCUAGGAAAAUUAAAUUUCUUAAUAUUGUCACUCCAGGCUACCUACUACAGAAUACCUAAGGAAAAUAGGUGUCAACAUUGAUACAAAUUACCCUAUUUGUAAACCAAUGAAUCCCUACUAUACAUAUUUUGGGAAUGCAAAUUGGCAAAAAUAUUAUGGGCAUCUAUAGGAGUUCCUUUGAACUCCCCUCAGCCUCAAGAACAUUGGGUAGAUUUCUUAUGGGACAAAUCCCCUAAAGCUCAAAACAGCCUUACCAACUGGAAAGUCGCAUUUCCGUUUGUUUUAUGGUCUAUUUUGAUAUGAUUCAGCGCGAUUUGCAGAAGUUGAUAGUUCAUAAGUUCAUCAAGUUUAAUUUUAGGUGCGAUUCGUAGUUUUGAUGUUGUUUGAUGUGAUUUGAGGCCUUGAGCAGGUUAGCGUUAUGUUACGAAACUUGUUGGUGUGUUCAGACAGGGUUCCACGAGACUCAUGUGAGUUUCGGGGUGGUUUUAGACUGUUUUUAAUUGAUGGUUUUUUUCCACAAGGAUAUGCAUCGUGAUCGUGGACUUUGGGUUGUGUUCCCGAAGAAAAAAUCUGCUAUUUGGGCACUAUAAAUUGCGACUGCGGAAGCCUUUUAGCGAUUGCAUAGAGGAACUUCUGUUGUCACUAACCCAAUUUAGGAAGCUAAUAUCUUCCAAUCUAUAAGGAAUUUGAAGAUGAUCCGAAAAAAAGAAAUUGCAGCCCUUUGAGUCUAGUUUUUAAAAUCUCAAAUUGUUUGUCAUUUGGAGUUUUGUACAAAAGAUUGUGGCUGUUACACUAUAAAAAGUCUGAGAAGAGUUUAGGAAGGGUAAUAGGAAUUUGUUCAUCGCGAUCACAGAGAAAUGGCCCGGGAUCGCGAAAGGUAAAAUUUGUGCUGGAACGUAUUGUUGAAUCGGUGACUGCAAUCACGAAGGGUACCUCUAGAGCACUGUUUAAAGUACUCUAUUUCAAACGUCUUGGUCAUUUUACCAUAUUUUGUGCUUUGGGCGAUUUUGAAGGGUAUUUUUACACAUUGGAUUGGGGUAAAUAUUCUAUAUCCGGAUUUGAGUAUAUUUUGUGAUUCUAUCUUUGUAUAUAACAUUAAAUUAGUGAUUUGAAUGGGGAAAAAUAUAAUUUUUUGUAUAAACUUUCAAAAAUGUAAAGUGAGGAUUCGAAAGCAGAUUUGAUAGCGUAAUAGGAUAAUUUUGGUAUGGUUGAACUCAUAUAGGAAUGUGUAUUUGGAUUUUGUGAAUUAUGUUGGGUUCCAAGGUGCGGGCACGGGGAUGAAUUUUUAGUUUUUAUUAAAGAUUGAAGCUUUAUUAUCUGGAAUUGUUUCAUAUGGUUUUUAUUUAUGAUAUUAAGUUAUUUUGGUUAGAUUUGAGCCGUCUGCAGAUUGUUUCACUCGCGAAGGUCAUUUUAGAGUAUCAGUUUAGUUGCAUUGAAGUUAGUAUCUUACCUAACUUUAUUUGGGGGAUCUACCUUUUAGGAUCUGAGUCGUUUGUGCUAAUUGUGUCAUGUAGAAGCUGUAUACGCAAGGCCACAAGUACGUACUUAAGCUUAUAUCUAGGAAGUGACCAGUAUAGACUAUUAGGCUUCUUUCAUGUACUUAUUUGGAUUUGUUAGUACAUGUUAUUUCUUUUAUUUGUCAUGUCUAUUAUCACAUUUUUAUUUGAAGUGGUCGUUUCAUGUCACAUUUCUUACUUGUAGAGUUGGCUAUUUUAUGCAUUAUUUGAAGUUAAUAUCACUUUUAUCAUUAUGUGAUUUCUUUUAUUGUGGAUUUACUCUUAGUUUAAUUGUUGUUACGUGAUAUCCUUUUUUUCCGAGUUAUUCACAUCCAUUUAGACGUAGUACUAGUUCAUGCCAUCUCUUUCAUUGUUAGCCUAUUCAUACAAUAGAAUCCGAAGUUUGCCAUUUCAUAUAAAUACUUUCACCAUCAAGUUUAUCCUAAAACAAUUAAUUGAAAUUGAGGUUAUCAAAAAUCAUUAAUCUAUUUUAAUUGAAGUUUUGUUUAAAGGGAGUGUUGUUCCUUGUUGAGUUACUUUCCCUUUCAUUUUAUUAUUAUUGAGGUUCCAUACACAUUGUGUUUGAGCCGUUGAUUGUUUGUCGUGGAAAUAUUGAGAUUGUUGGAUCAACAGAAAGGUUGUGGCCUAUGGGCACUUGUGAUACAAGUUGAUAUAUCGUGUUGUUAUGAUGUUAGCACGCGUGAAUUGUUGUGUUGUUUGGUUUUUAACAUUCAGGGUAUAAGGGUGGUAACUCACUGUUGUUGAAUAUAUAAAGUGAUAUUGGUGGCUAUUGUGUAAUUUUCCAGGCGGAGAAAUAAGGGUAUACAGAGUGAUACAGGUGGCUAUCAGAGUGAUAUGGGCGGCUAGUGAUAUUGUUAAGGCAGGGUGAUACUAUCGGAGAGAUAAGGGUUGCAAUGUCAGGGACAAAAGACAUUGUGUUGGUGAUUUUCGUGUGAUGGCAUGAUUUUCCUUAUGUAUGUUAUACACCAUACAUAUUCUCUUGUGCUUCUUUGAUGAUCUACUCGAUGCCUUUGAUAUUACUUGUUGGCUUGGAGUACAGUAGUACACUCGCACAAGUAUAUACCAUAGCAUGUCACUUAUACUAGCUAAAGAGUAUGAAACACAACAUUUAUUGAUCAUGCCCAAGUGUUUUUGUAUUAUAUUUUUUCAUGUUGAUAUUGAGCCCGUGGCCAUGCCUGGUGGAUUGUGCUAUUGAUCCUAUGACUACAUCGUGCGGAUGGUGAUUGUGAGCCUAUGACCAUACUGAGCGGAUUAUGAUAUUGAGCAUGUGAACACGCUGAGUGGAUUAUGAUUGUGAGCAUGUGAUCACGCCAGGAGGAUUAUGAAUGUAAGCCUGUGAUCAUGCCGUGCAGAAUAAGAUAUUGGCAUGUGAGUUAUUCGUGCGAUUGUGAUUUGAAAUGUGGGCACAAAGUGCCGUGAGCAGAGGAUGGUGGUCUGAGAUCCAUGACUUCUGAUUAUGAGAUGAGGUAUCACAGAGUGAUUUUGUUUGUAACUUAUGUUAGAACAACUUGAUUAAUUCAUUGUCAUUUGUGUUCCUUAUGCGGUUUUAACGAUACUUCAGGGUGUUCUUAUUGCUUACAGUUUAUAUCACUUGUUGCCAUUUACUGAUUUCCACUUUUUAUUAUUAGCUUUAUACUUCUAUAUUGCAUAGGUUAUUUUAUCUAGAGAGUACUUAACUUUUACCUCGUCACUACUCCACCGAGGUUAGUCUUGAUACUUACCGAAUAUCGACCGUGAUGUACUCAUACUAUAUUUCUGUACAUUUUUGUGUAGAGCUAGGUAUUGGAGACUUCGGCCCGGGGAAGAAUUAGUUUUUUGAUCAUGAGAAUUCAAGGUAGAGCUGGUUUAUCAUCGCAGUCCAAUGGAG